AUCCCCGCCCCUUCGGCAGUCUGAAGUUACUGCUUACCUCAGACUCGGACUGUGCAGAUGGGUGGUAAAUCCCCGUGUACUCCCCUGCUCAGUAACCCCUCCCACUAUCAUUGGGGUGUGUGGCUAAUGCAGGGUCAGCUGGUGACCGGGCAGGGAGAAGCUUUAUACAGCAGUGAGCAGUCACUUCACUACUUCAGCUGCUGUGCAGUGUACAUGGUGGAUUGCCUGCUGUUGCAACGCUGAGGAGAUUCCUGCUCAGGGCAGGAGCUCCCCAGCAGUGUCUGCUGUGCUCCGAUUGGCAGAGUGACACAUCACUCACAGUCAGUCAGCCAAUCGGAGCACAGACACCCCCACACCAUUCCCAAACAGGAGGCUUCAUGGUGAUGAAAUUGCAGGCUGAACAGUUCAACACUACACAGAACAAAUGUUCUCGGUAAUCUCCUGGUUAUGACGGCAUUCAUAGUGGAUAAGAGUCUUAGAACUCAAAGCAACUUCUUUCUUCUCAAUUUGUCCAUCUGUGAUUUUUUCAUAGGUGCAUUUAUCAGUCCUUUGUAUGUGAUGUAUUUACUGACGGGAAAGUGGAUACUUGGCAGAUUUAUGUGUAAAGUGUGGUUAAUUGCUAGCUAUACAAUGUCUACAGCAUCAGCAUUUAACAUUAUUCUGAUCAGCUAUGACAGAUUUCUUUCCGUAACA
Long non-coding RNA from Pseudophryne corroboree (corroboree frog), 693 nucleotides. RefSeq lists it as uncharacterized. NCBI's taxonomy places the organism in Eukaryota, Metazoa, Chordata, Amphibia, Anura, Myobatrachidae. The transcript has 3 exons. The record is from RefSeq and is a predicted model, not a curated record.